AUUCAGGCCUCCGCCAGCUUCUAGGCCCUGGGGAUGGUCUUUCACCUCCCUCUUUCUGAUCUCUUUUUCAUGCUCCUCCUUGCUCCAAAGAAAAGCCGGAUGGCAAAAGAGCCCAGAACCUAUUGGAACUGACAAAAUCAAGUCACGGCGCCUACAAAGAUGAGGGGCAGAUUCUGGCUGCCUUUUAAUUUCGUCCUUCACCUGAUAUCUGUGCCAGAGAAUGGAACUUGGGGCGGCCCCUGUCCAGUUCAAACCAGCUGAGACCACCAACCCUCUGAAUGCACCUGCAUGGAUGUCGGAAAAGUGACACUUGCCAUCAGAGGGCCAAAACUCCACCCUCAGAUCAUGUUAACACUGCUAUUUUCUGACCAUGUGUCCUAAGAAGAGCCGUGAGCCCAGACUGCACUUGCUCAGAUCACCAGUUACCUCACUUCUCCCCACCCUCAAUCACCUUUCCCCACCUUAGACCAUCCUAAUUCUUUACUCCAUAAAUAUCCCUAAGCAUUAUCCUUGAGGAGGUAGAUUUGAGAGCUGUUCUCCCAUCUCCUGGCUGGGUUGCCCUGUGAGUAAAUCUUUUCUCUUUUGCAAAACCCAUUGUCACCAUGACUGGCUUACUGUGUGCAGGCAGAAUGAACCUGGUUUGGUGUCAUAUCUACGAGCUCCCAGACAAUGCCAGUCCCACUGGACUAAGGGUCUCACUUUGAGUAACAAGUUCUUAAAAGUCUCCUGGAUCAAGUUCUUCUGCCCUGACCGUCUUUUUCAUAAUAGUCUAGAGCAAGACUUCACACACAAGAAAUGUUGGACUGUCUCAUAGGCAGAAGGGUUUGUGGGAAAAGCAGUGAGUCCAUUUGAAAGCUACAAAAGUAAAGUGAGCUCUCAUCAUGUCACCAAUAAGUGUUCUGUUUUUAAUUUUCAGAUAAAAAUCAUAAUAAAGGAAAUAAUGGAAGAGGAGACUUAUGUUACUGGGGACAUCUAACAUAAUUAUUUUCCUGAUUCAGUGGCAUGGUUCAGUCUUCCAGGAGUUCUGCUACAGAGAAGAGAGUAACCCCCAUCCAUCAUGGCCAAAGCACCCAGUCAGGCUCCGCUCUGGAUCCAGCCCGACAAAUGCAACCCUUGAAUAGGGUUUGUGCAAGCAAACUGGAUGACGACCGAAGAAACCCUGUCGCUUCUGAGAAGACACCCAAUCCAAGAAUGAAAGCAUCAGGUUCAAUACCUAGGAACUCCUGUAGAGGGUGUUGUGGAAUCUUCUUUAAAAGAACAAAACAAGGCAAAACAAAGUUUAAUAGGGUAGAGCAGCCAGGUGUGGUGGGUCAUGCCUGUAAUCUCAGCAAUUUGGGAGGCCAAGGCAGGAUCUCAGCAAUUUGGGAGGCGAAGGCAGGCAGAUCACUUGAGCCUAGGAGUUCAAGACCAGCUUGGGCAACAUAGCAAGACCCUGCCUAUACCAAAAAAAAAAAGUGAACCUAGGAGUAUGAGGCUGCAGUAAGCUGUGGUUGUACCAGUGCACUUUGGGAGGCCAAGGUAGGCGGGUCUUCUGAGAUCGAGAGUUUGAGACCAGCCUGACCAACAUGGAGAAACCCCGUCUCUACUAAAAGUACAAAAUUAGCCGGCAUGGUGGUGCAUGCCUGUAAUCCCAGCUACUCGGGAGGCUGAGGCGGGAGAAUUGCUUGAACUCAGGAGGCAGAGGUUGUGGUGAGCCAAGAUCGCGCCAUUGCACUCCAGCCUGGACAACAAGAGCGAAACUCCAUCACAAACAAACAAACAAUAAACAAAAACCAUAGAGUGAUUUCUGGCCAACAGAGCAAGAAAGAAGUGAACCAAUGAAAACCGGUCCAAGUCUGGGAGUCAAUAUGGAAAAGCUGCCUAAUUAAUGUGGAAGCCCCAGGGAAAUGAUAUACCAUGAAAACCUAACACUACAAAAACUAGUUGUCAGACACAUGUGAGCAGUGAACAGAAUCCUAAUAUGCUGGUUUAACAUUCAAAACUGGAGAGUGUUUGUGUAUCUUCUAAAGACUGUUUGGGGUUUAUUUGUGGAGUUCAGCUGAGUGUCAUCAGAACAAAGAUUAGUGCAAAAAAUCUUUCAGAAAUCAUGCCCAAACAUUUGCAUGCACCUUAAAUAAGAAAUGAAAUAGCAAGAAGAGUAUGUCACAAUAAAGUAUAAAUAGCAAGUGAUAUGUCUCAUCGUACUGAGACAGUUUUAUAAAUGAGGCAAAGGCCUUGUCAAAAAAUAAUGAUGAUUUUCAAAAUUCUGAAACGCAAAGGAGGAAAACUACUUCAUUCAGUUAACAGGAAGCACACAAGAAUCUCCCCAUCAACCAAGAUUUUUUUUUUCUAUAACCCACGCUUUGUAAGACAAUAAUAGCAAAAACUAUAAACUAGAAUUUGUUGAAAGAACAACUUCUAGAAUUUGCCCUUUAUGUGCUGUUUUACCAUUGUCAUGUCUGUCUCUGGUAUGACUUCCUCAUCUAUUAGUAGCCUCCUAAUAAAUUUGAACAAAUGAAUGAAUGAAUAAGAGACAACUAAGCAUGAGGUAUUGCAAGAUGGUAACUCAUCCAGGGAAAAUUAAAACCUGGAGUGGAUCAGAUGGAAAAACAAAAUAAGACACUAGAAAAAAAUCACCAGGAGGGUUUCAAACCAAAAGAUCCCCUGGUUAACCUUCAGCUAAUUAUAAGAUUUAAUUAACUAGAAAAACUCAAUCCUUGUUUAUUCUAUUUAAUUGAGAUUUUACCAUAUUUAAAAUGAUGUUACUCAAGUGUUCUCAUUAAUAUUUAAUGAAAGUGUGAGAGAAUUGGCUAACCAAAUUUACUGUGCUUAGGUAAACUGUAAUUAGGAAGGGUUAGCAGAGCAUCCCAAGGGACCUAUCAAUCACAAAAUGAAGCGAUACAAUUACAGAUGAAUUUCAACAAGGAAACACACAAAACAGUGAUCCUCAAAAAAGAUGGAAUAAAAUUACUUGAAUGUGGUAGUCGGUUCUGAGAAAUGCAAUCAAUCACAUGUCAUUUCAGACAACUCAGAAGGAAUAACCCUACCCAACAGACUUGAACUCUUUGUGUGUGUGUGUGUGUGUGUGUCUGUGUGUGUGAUAGAAUUUCACUCUUGUCGCCCAGGCUGGAGUGCAGUGCGAUCUCGGCUCACUGCAACCUCUGCCUCCCAGGUUCAAGCAAUUCUUCUGCCUCACCCUCCCUAGUAGCUGAGAUUAUAGGUGCCCACCACCACACCCGGCUAAUUUUGUAUUUUUAGUAGAGAAGGGGUUUCACCAUGUUGGCCAGGCUGGUCUCGAACUCCUGACCUCAGGUGAUCUUCCCACCUGGGCCUCCCAAAGUGCUGGGAUUACAGGCAUGAGCCACUGCACCUGGCCCAGACUUGAACUCUUGAUUGCAUGAAAGUGUAUUAAUCUUCUAUCUGCUUAUUCCCAAUUUCCCAGCUGAUAAAAUGCCCCACUGUUAUUUCACUUAAAUUUGGAAUAACCUGCAUCUAGUUAAGUUGGAGCUACUUUGUCUUGUUGCAGAUUUUCUUUUGCUUUGCUGUCUUCAUUCUAACUUGGCAGAGCCCAGGUGCUUUGUCUCUAUUUGCCUGCAAGACCUCUUUUCCAAGACAUGUCAGGUUUCUCUCUAAAGUACCUUCCACCUGGAGGAUAUCUGUUCUUGUUCUUUAAUUCCUGGCCCUAUUUCCUAUUCAUCUGAAAAACUAGGCUUUGUGAGCAGGAUCAUGCAUGGCAAUGAGUUCUAAUGAGUUUUUAAUGUUUCACACUUCAUGAUGAACAUAUAUUUGCAUUUCAGAAAAUGCUUUUAAGGAAUGUUUUUUUUU
RNAcentral lists this long non-coding RNA (3804 nucleotides) under Homo sapiens (human). RNAcentral's name for it is "HSALNT0356679". Lineage: Eukaryota; Metazoa; Chordata; Mammalia; Primates; Hominidae. The record is from RNAcentral.